CAAUAAAUAGUUUAUUUAAAAUAUUAAUUUUGGAGAUUAAAGAGAGAGGGUAAGUUCUUUUAUUGA
Molecule: transfer RNA, 66 nt
Filed under: Hemiodoecus leai
Lineage: Eukaryota; Metazoa; Arthropoda; Insecta; Hemiptera; Peloridiidae
Description: tRNA-Pro
Source: RNAcentral